RNAcentral lists this long non-coding RNA (369 nucleotides) under Capsicum annuum. RNAcentral's name for it is "long non-coding RNA (CANN_LNC020522)". The record is from RNAcentral. Lineage: Eukaryota; Viridiplantae; Streptophyta; Magnoliopsida; Solanales; Solanaceae.
UGAAGGGGUGUUAGAGUGGGUAAAAGUCCCACAUUAGUUGGAGAAUAAACUAGUGGUUUGCUUAUAUGGACUUGAGUAAUCCUCCCCUCACGAGCUAGCUUUUGAGGUUGAGUUAGGCCAGUAUCUAUUUCUUGUCAUGAUAUCAGAGCCAGGUCCAUCCUCGUUUUGGGCUUUCGGUCCACGCGCCAGUGCCAAUUGGGCCUGGGCGUGAGGAGGUGUUAGAGUGGGUAAAAGUCCCACAUUAAUUAGGGAAUUGACUGAUGGUUUGCUUUUGAAGUUGAGUUAGGCCCGAGGUUCAUUCUUGACAUCCAUAACACAUUUGUUUUUUUACAUGUGGCGUCUCUACUACAAUAUGUAAAAAAUUGUCAU